GACGAACGCUGGCGGCGUGCCUAAUACAUGCAAGUCGAGCGAAGCGGCGGAUGGGUGAGUAACGCGUAGGUAACCUGCCCUUAAGGCUGGGAUACUAUUUGGACACAGAUGCUAAUACCGGAUACUAAAGGAUGGACCUGCGAUGCAUUAGCUAGUUGGUAAGGUAACGGCUUACAAAGGCGAUGAUGCAUAGCCGAGUUGAGAGAAUGAUCGGCCACAUUGGGACUGAGACACGGCCCAAACUCCGACGGGAGGCAGCAGUAGGGAAUCUUCCACAAUGGACGAAAGUCUGAUGGAGCAACGCCGCGUGAGUGAAGAAGGUUUUCGGAUCGUAAAGCGCUGUUGUUGGUGAAGCGGUAAUCAACCAGAAAGUCACGGCUAACUACGUGCCAGCAGCCGCGGUAAUUC
RNAcentral lists this ribosomal RNA (408 nucleotides) under uncultured bacterium. RNAcentral describes it as "partial 16S ribosomal RNA". It matches the Rfam family "Bacterial small subunit ribosomal RNA", at positions 28 to 526 of the family's 1533-position model. The record is from RNAcentral.